RNAcentral lists this small RNA (362 nucleotides) under Arabidopsis thaliana (thale cress). RNAcentral's name for it is "ATSL082820". Lineage: Eukaryota; Viridiplantae; Streptophyta; Magnoliopsida; Brassicales; Brassicaceae. The record is from RNAcentral.
UUUUUUCUGUUUGAUGGUUACCAUUUAAAGCUAAUAUAUCGGUAACGAGGGUGUAUCAUAUCUUAUUAUAUAAAAUACAGUUUUAAAAAUUACUAACUCACGAGAUCAUGAAACGUGCCAAGUCUAACGAUAAGAUGUUUACAUGUGUUAUUAAAGAUAUAACUUUUUAUUAUCUUAAAAAAUAAGAAACUCUAAAAAGUAAAGGGGAAUUUGCAAAAGUACCUUUUUCUACUACCUUUUUGCAGCAAUAACUUUUCUGUUGUCCAUUUUAAAAAAUACAUGUUCUCUUGAGAAAAAUGACCAAAUUACCCUCAUCUAAUGAGAAUAUGAAAUUAUAAACUGAAAUAUUUUGGCGCCAAAAU